Molecule: long non-coding RNA, 813 nt
Organism: Gasterosteus aculeatus aculeatus (three-spined stickleback)
Lineage: Eukaryota; Metazoa; Chordata; Actinopteri; Perciformes; Gasterosteidae
Source: Ensembl
GGCUUCUGAAAAGAUGGGACAACACAUUUUUAAAAAUCACAAACCAUAAUCCGGGUUCGUGCUGAACGGUUUUCUUACCGUAUUUUCUCCGUCUUCUGGGCUCGCAGGGAAACCCACGUUGCUAACAAGAGGGUGCCAACGUCCAUUGCGCCGGGCAAUAGAAUGAAUAGCCAGUGAAAGGAAUGGACCCAUACAACGUUUGAUGGAUGGAGGCGGUGUUAACUCAUGAGUACUUUCAACUGGCAGUGCAGUAGCUGUCGCCUAACGGGGAAAUGAAUCAGCAACACUUUACAGUGGUAUAAGAGUCUAGGGGAAAUCACCCGUUUUAACUCACCACAGUUGAUGCUGUGAGAAAUAAUCCCCACAGACAGAGCAAUGUUAGGCCUCUCAUUUUGAACACGGAUUAGCUGCUGAUCGUCCGCUGAUACAGCAGCUUUAUAGUCUCCAUGUCAGUAGGUGGAGCCUGUUCUUGUAUGUUUUGUGUCAGUUUAGUUACUAGAUCCAACUUUUUUUUUUACCUUUACCUGAGAUUUUUUGGAUCUAUUUGUUGACCUUUUGAUUUCAAAUGUAUAUUUAUCUAUUGGUAAAUUGGGUCUAUUUGUUUGUUUUGUUCUAAUAAAGACCUCACAAGUUACUAAACUAAAUGUUUAUUGGAAACUCGCAGACAACACAAAAAAAUUCUUCCUGGGAUCUUUAAAGUAUCACAAUAGAAAUACAUAAUGCAAGACAACUCACUUCUGAAGGGGAAGCUAAAUGUAUUUCUCAUGCGGCAUGACUGAACCCGAAAUAUGUUUUAUAGAAACAAAUCAAAGU